CAUUUUAAAUUAUUAAUCUUCACCAUGUUAUUUCCAAGAACAAUCACGAUUGAUCUUUCAGUUACACAGCCACGGUGUGUGCCUCUCUGUGUAACUCUGCACAGCUGGUGAUUUACUGAAAGAACUUACUCUCAUAAAACCACAGCCAGCGAGUUCUCAGAGACACAAUAAUGCACCUUAAUUAUGAGUUUAAAAGCUCUUGUCUUGUGAAAUGUAAUCGAUCCACAGAAAAAUCAUAAAGUAUACAUGUAAUAGCUUAAUGACUUAUAAAUGAAGAUCUGUAUACUUCCCACUCGAAAAACGGAAUAUUGCAGGAUUUGAGUACACAACCCGUACCUUUCCAACGACAGCCUCCCUCCCACCAGAGCUUCUGCUGAGUUCACUUGAAAUCACUUCCUUGCAUUUAUUUAUACUUUUAUUACCUUGAGGUGCAUCCCUAACCAUUCUAGUUCGAUUUUGCCUGGUGUUUGAACUUUAUAUUAAUGGAAUCAUAGGACAUAAUUCUUAUAUCUCUGGUUUCUUUCAUUCAACUUUGUGUCUGCGAAAUGUAUCCAUGUUGCAUGCAACGGGGGCUCAUUCAUCGCUGGUUACUGAUUCACUGCAUGAGUAUGACACAGUUUAUUAACCAUUUCACUGCUGAUGAACAUUUGAUCAUUUCUAGUUUGGGAAUAUUAUUAAUAAUUUUUGAACCUUCUUAUUUGUGUGCCCUGAUGUACAUGGACAUGCAUUUUAGGGGUGUAUACUUAGGGAAAUUGCCGGUUCAUGAGUAACACCUAUCUUCAGGUAUUACUUUUUGUGCCCUUUUAUGCUGAACUACAAUUUACGUGCAAUACCAAUCAUUCAUAUUAAGUGUACAACUCAGUGAGUUUAGACAACUGGACACCUUGUUGUGAGUCACCACCACCGAGAUGAUCCAGCACUGUCCCAACUCCCCCCAAGUUCUCCUUUGCAGGCACCCUCUCCCUCCAUUCUGGGCACAGGCAACCAUGAACCACUAUCUGUCACCGUAGCUUUAGUAUAAAAUUUCACAUACAUGGACUCAGGGAGCAUAGAGUCUUUCCUGUCUGGCUUCUUUCCGCUGGCAAAAUGCUUGGAGACUUUUCCACGUUGCUGCAUGAAUCAAUGGAUCAUUUGUUUUCGUGGCUGAGCAGAAUUCCACCAACAUUUGUUUACUCAUCCAUGAAAUGAUGGACAUUUGGUGUUUUUCCAUUGAGAUUGUUAUGAAUAAUGCUGCUAUUGUCAUUCAAGGACAAGUCUUCUGUGAACAUCUGUUUUCACUUCUCUUGGGUACAUCCUUAGAAGUGGUAUUGCUGGACUGUAUCAAAAGUUAAUAUUUAACUUUCAGGAAACUUACAAACUGUUUUCCAGAGUGGCUGUACCAUUUUGCAUUCCCAGACCGAAGUGUGAAAGCUCCAGAUGCCCCACGCCCUCACCAGCCCACGGUGUUGUCAGCCUUAAUAGUGCUGACCAUUCUGCCUGUUAAUAUGAUGAAUUACACUGAUUCAGUUUCAAAUGUCCAACCAAGCUUGCACUCCAGAGAUGAAGCCCACUUGAUCACAUGGAUUAUUCUUUUAAUAUAUGAUGGAUACGACUUGGCUGUUCUUUUGUUGAGGAUUUUUGUGUUUAUGUUAAUGAGGAUAUUAUUUGUAGUUUUCUUUUCUUGUAAUGUUUUUGUCUUUGUUCAGUGUCAGAGUAAUGCCAACUUCAU
This 1708-nucleotide long non-coding RNA is filed under the name Homo sapiens (human). Its description in RNAcentral is "non-protein coding lnc-PDE6B-1:15". Lineage: Eukaryota; Metazoa; Chordata; Mammalia; Primates; Hominidae. The record is from RNAcentral.